GGGCGUAUAGUGUAGUUUGGAUAACACUUCGGCCUUCUAAGCCGAAACCGGGGGUUCAAAUCCUCCUACGCCCGCCA
RNAcentral lists this transfer RNA (77 nucleotides) under Altibacter sp. RNAcentral describes it as "tRNA-Arg". It matches the Rfam family "tRNA". Rfam says of the family: Transfer RNA (tRNA) molecules are approximately 80 nucleotides in length. Their secondary structure includes four short double-helical elements and three loops (D, anti-codon, and T loops). Lineage: Bacteria; Pseudomonadati; Bacteroidota; Flavobacteriia; Flavobacteriales; Flavobacteriaceae. The record is from RNAcentral.